GUGGUUUUAUUUUGCCCCCCAAAGCAAGCUCUAGAUUUGGAAUCCCAACUUGAAAUUGACCCUCAUACUCACAAGACCCCUCCAGUGGCAUGCCGUUGAGCAUCAAUUGUGAGUCAUUUUUCUUAUGCGAAUCAACGGGAAAGAAGGUUCUUUCCAUGGUUCCAAGGUCCUCAACUGAAGAGAAGGUACCAGGAUGGUUUGCACGGGCCAUAAAACUGCCAUUGGAAGAUUCCCUACCUCCUGAACUACAACUUCCAUAAAUAUCAGUUAAACCUGACUUGAGCUUCUUGCUGGAACUUUCUCCAUCUUCCAAUUUUCCAUUGACCUUAUCCCAAGGCAAUUUCUGAUAACUAUCUGUGGAAGCCUUCAAAACUGCAUUUGAAACAUCUAUAUGCUGAACUCUUUUAUCAUUGGUUUGCUGACAGUUUAUGAUUGUUACAGAUGGGCCUUCUUGAAGCGUUGCCUCUAUGCUAAUAUUGAGAUCUUCUUCUAUCAGUUUCCUUUUAGGCCUAUGUUGAUCUUCAUCAUGGUUAAUUCUCUCUGAAAUUUGACUUUUAGAGGUAUUGCUUGCAGCAUCUGUCUCUUGUUUCUCGGCAGAAGGAAUCCCUGAAGACAGAGAGUUCUCUUGCUUGACUGAAAUGUCAUAGUCACUAUUUGUUUCCACAAUCCUGCUACUUACAAGUGUUCUCAUUGCUUCAGGAGGUGUGGGGACUCUCUGCUGUCCAUCUUUCUGCACAAAGCAAGAACAUCUUAGCAGCAGCACUUCAUAACUGUCAACAUGGUCUCUAAUACCAAAACUUCACCAUUAUGCUUCUAUUUAAUCUUCCCCUUGAUUUAAUAUUUAAGGAUUGGUAACUUUAUAACAUCAGCAAUUCAACUUAAUUGUAGGAGGCUAGGAGCACCAAAUAACCACUGUACACAUUCUACAAUAUAGGAAAUCAAAAUAGCAUUUGAAAUUAAAAAAUUUCAUAGAUCAGGGUCACAUCGCAGAAUUAGCAAAGAAAAAUUCAAGUAUAUCAAAUUAAGCAUUUAAGGGAAAAACAGUACCGGGGAUGAACCUGCGGAAUGCAAUUCUUGGCACAACUGACCACUGCUUGAAAUUAAUAUAUUAUAUACAUUUAUUAUAAUUAAAACAUCAGUAUUUUUGAAAUGCCUUAAAUUCCCAUAGUUUGUUCAUUUUAAAAACCCUCAAGAAAAUCCAUGCUUAAAGAAUGCGCCUUAGUUCAAAUAAAAAACCAUACACGUUAUCGGUGCUACGUUAAAUGGGUCAUACAAGAAGAAAUCCCAGUAAAGAAUUUAGCUAAUCUAUUACUACUACUAGUAGUAAUCAAGUGGGGAAACUAAAGAUGAUGGUCAAUUAUAUGCAAUGCAAAAAGAGACCAAUGAUGAAGUCAGGAACAAAGGAAACCUUGUCAUUUAAAAAGAAAGUCAUCCGCAAGCUCCUAUUGAUAUUUCCGAAGUUAUGCCGGCUGAUUUUCUCACUAUAUAUACAAACAGCCGUAACUGUGUUUUUGAACCAAAAAGAUAAUACCAAAAACAUGUAUUUAUCUAAGGAGUAAAGGAGGGAAGAAAACACAUUUAUUCACUCUAGAGGCUCAUGAAGGUGGAUUAAGGGGUCCUACAUGAUAGGCUAUAGCUUUUAUCAAAGGCAUAUGGAACAGAUAAUGUACAAGAUUAGAGAUAUACUAGGUAGAUUUUAUUUGUCUGUGUAUCUCCCAAAAAGGAGAAACGGAGUAUUCACAUGAUGCCCAUCAGUCGAAUGUUCAGCUUUUGGAGCAGGUUUGACAGGUUCCUUAUUUGAUGAUGGGAAUGAUAGAGACAGCGAAAGAGAUGCAGCAACACUGUUGUCGCCCUCUUGCUCAUCCCCAACUACUUCAGGUGGUUUUUUCUGGUUAUUUUUCUUGUCUACAGCUCCGACGAGAAAAGGGAACAUACCCUUAUGGGGCGGCGCUGGAACUGGCAGUGGCUGUGGUUUUAUUUUGCCCCCCAAAGCAAGCUCUAGAUUUGGAAUCCCAACUUGAAAUUGACCCUCAUACUCACAAGACCCCUCCAGUGGCAUGCCGUUGAGCAUCAAUUGUGAGUCAUUUUUCUUAUGCGAAUCAACGGGAAAGAAGGUUCUUUCCAUGGUUCCAAGGUCCUCAACUGAAGAGAAGGUACCAGGAUGGUUUGCACGGGCCAUAAAACUGCCAUUGGAAGAUUCCCUACCUCCUGAACUACAACUUCCAUAAAUAUCAGUUAAACCUGACUUGAGCUUCUUGCUGGAACUUUCUCCAUCUUCCAA
This 2281-nucleotide long non-coding RNA is filed under the name Arachis ipaensis. RNAcentral describes it as "long non-coding RNA (AIPA_LNC000553)". Lineage: Eukaryota; Viridiplantae; Streptophyta; Magnoliopsida; Fabales; Fabaceae. The record is from RNAcentral.